CCCUUAGAUGUCCUGGGCCGCACGCGCGCUACACUGAGUGUCUGAGAUACGAGUCUGCCUGGUCCGGCAAGAUCUAGGUAAUCGCUAAAAGACACAUCAUGCUUGGGAUAGAUUAUUGCAAAUAUUAAUCUUGAACGAGGAAUUCCUAGUAAGCGCAAGUCAACAGCUUGCGUUGAUUACGUCCCUGCCCUUUGUACACACCGCCCGUCGCUACUACUGAUUGGAUGUUUAAGCGAGGUUCUCGAACUGCUAGCGACUUAGCUUCGGUGAGGUCGCAGUGUGGGAAGUGAACCUAGCUUUGGUGUCUAGAGGAAGUAAAAGUCGUAACA
This 329-nucleotide ribosomal RNA is filed under the name uncultured eukaryote. RNAcentral describes it as "partial 18S ribosomal RNA". It matches the Rfam family "Eukaryotic small subunit ribosomal RNA", at positions 1470 to 1796 of the family's 1831-position model. The record is from RNAcentral.